GAUGAAGAACGUAGCGAAAUGCGAUAAGUAAUGUGAAUUGCAGAAUUCAGUGAAUCAUCGAAUCUUUGAACGCACAUUGCGCCCCCUGGUAUUCCGGGGGGCAUGCCUGUUCGAGCGUCAUUUCACCACUCAAGCCUCGCUUGGUAUUGGGCAACGCGGUCCGCCGCGUGCCUCAAAUCGUCCGGCUGGAUCUUCUGUCCCCUAAGCGUUGUGGAAACUAUUCGCUAAAGGGUGUUCGGGAGGCUACGCCGUAAAACAACCCCAUUUCUAAGGUUGACCUCGGAUCAGGUAGGGAUACCCGCUGAACUUAAGCAUAUCAAUAAGCGGAGGA
Molecule: unclassified non-coding RNA, 331 nt
Filed under: soil metagenome
Description: partial contains 5.8S ribosomal RNA, internal transcribed spacer 2, and large subunit ribosomal RNA
Rfam family: 5.8S ribosomal RNA (bases 1-120)
Source: RNAcentral